UUUUUUUUUUGUUUUUUUUAAAGGGUGGUGAGUCUUUGAUCCAGUCUGAGAAAGCUGCACUCGGUGACGACAAACCAGCUCCAGCCUCUCUCUCUCGGUGACUCUGCGAUGCUAAAAAUAAAUAAAUUUAACAGACGCCUUCAAGGGACCAUCAACCCAGCCGCACACUGAGUCGGCACGAGUGCAUGCCAGGCAACGCGCUCAGCUCUCCGGGGCUGCGUCACCAGCUGCAUUGCGACUCCCGCACUUUCAUAUGCUGCAGCCCUCGCCCCCGGCACCUCACAAUGGGACUGCAUUUGGCAGUAGGGUCUUGAAGAGAUGGAUGGGUAAAAUGGAGCCAUAGGGGUGGCCCUCAUCCAAUAGGACCCGUGUCCUUAUAGGAAGAGGAGGUCAGGACACAGACACACACAGGGACGGCCGGGAGGGGACACAGGCAGAGGACAGCGUCCAGAAGCCCAGGAGAGGAGCCUCGGGAGGAACCAGCCCUGCCCACACCUUGGUCUUAGACUUCCGGCCUCCAGAACUGCAAGGAAGUGAGUUUCUGUGGUUUAAGCCACCCAGCCUGCAGAAUUUUGUUAUGGAAGGUUGUAACAAAGUCUUUCUGAAAAAUACAAGCAUUUCAAGCAGAGGCCCUUCACAGCCUGUUACACAACCACUCAAAGUGCACCCUUGUCUUUUGCAAUUUCUCUUGGAAUUGGCUAUGUCACUGGCACUCGCGCCUAGGCCGUCCCGAGGGGUCAGCCCUGGGCACUGUCUCCCUUUCCGGGUGUGGGAACUGGCUGCCGGCGUGGGAACGGCUGCUUGUCCCAGUGGUGCCCACCUGUGGCCACACUGCAAGGCCACCCAGGCCUAGAGAUGUCACUGAGGACUGACCCGGAGACGCCGACCUCAGGGUCCUGGGAGGCUGCGCACUGGCCAUGUUGGAGGUGACCCUCAUGUCACCCAGGUCAAGAGCCACGGGCCCUACACGUCCUCUCCUUCCCUGUCUCCCAGCCGUGGGCCCAGACUGGAUGGCUUUGGCUAAGGAAUCAAUGCAGGUGGAGAAGGAGGCUGACGAUGGAGCCCGGGUGCUCCAGCCUUGAGUGAACAGAGGAGGAACCGACCCUGAGCCUGCACAGCAGCCACGCGGGGGUGCUUUGCGGGGCUUUCCUCUUUGCUUCCGUCCAAAUAAAGUGGCCCUCGUUUGAAAGCCUCUGUGCUGAAUGCUCCCAAUGCCCUCCGAUUCUGUCUAGGAUGUGCCUACAACCAAGGCAGGUGUGUGAAUUCACCCGCACAGCUCACCGUCCUGGGAGGGUGACGCUGGAGGAGGGACGUCCCUACCACCAAGGCAGGUGUGUGAAUUCACCCGCACAGCUCACCGUCCUGGGAGGGUGACGCUGGAGGAGGGACGUCCCUACCACCAAGGCAGGUGUGUGAAUUCACCCGCACAGCUCACCGUCCUGGGAGGGUGACGCUGGAGGAGGGACGUCCCUACCACCAAGGCAGGUGUGUGAAUUCACCCCCACAGCUCACCGUCCUGGGAGGGUGACGCUGGAGGCGGGACGUCCCUACCACCAAGGCAGGUGUGUGAAUUCACCCCCACAGCUCACCAUCCUGGGAGGGUGACGCUGGAGGAGGGACGUCCCUACCACCAAGGCAGGUGUGUGAAUUCACCCGCACAGCUCACCAUCCUGGGAAGGUGACGCUGGAGAAGGGACGUCCCUACCACCAAGGCAGGUGUGUGAAUUCACCCCCACAGCUCACCAUACUGGGAAGGUGACGCUGGAGGAGGGACGUCCCUACCACCAAGGCAGGUGUGUGAAUUCACCCGCACAGCUCACCGUCCUGGGAAGGUGACGCUGGAGGAGGGACGUCCCUACCACCAAGGCAGGUGUGUGAAUUCACCUGCACAGCUCACCGUCCUGGGAGGGUGACGCUGGAGGAGGGACGUCCCUACCACCAAGGCAGGUGUGUGAAUUCACCCCCACAGC
Molecule: long non-coding RNA, 1970 nt
Filed under: Macaca mulatta (Rhesus monkey)
Lineage: Eukaryota; Metazoa; Chordata; Mammalia; Primates; Cercopithecidae
Description: lncRNA (ENSMMUG00000055246.1)
Source: RNAcentral